CAUGCCAGCUUAAAUACCCCUGACCCCAUGCCAGUGUAGACAGCCUGCAGUACCCAUACCAGUGUAGACCACCCCGUUGAUCUCUAGGGCCAUGUUGAUACUGCUGAUGCCACUGCCUGCCAGAUUAAGAGGCCCAUCCAGCCGCUCUUCUGUCCAGGAGGGGGCAGAGGAAUCACAUUUUGGAGAAUCAGACUUCAGACUUAUUAAUAGAAUUUCCCCCCUCCAUCCCUGUAGACAGCCCCCAUUCCACUUCAGCCCCACACGUAUACUCACACAAUUGUCUAUAAAGGAAUCUGUCUGCCCCCUCUCUAACACCUAUCAGGUGAUGGGUCAAUCCUCCCUCAGUGUACAGUCCCGAAGCCCCCUCACAACAAACCCCUCCUCACCCCUCAGGGGAACCUUGCCACGGGGCAGGAAACUGGGGGGCAUGCCAGGUCGAGGUGGGUCCAUGGGCCCCAUCAGCACAGCUCUCUUUUCUGGAGGCUCCUCUGGUGCCAGUUUCUCCCGUGUAGGUCCCAAUGCCAGGCCCACAGGCAGUGCCAGGCGAGGGGUUGGAAUUCCACUCUCCUCUGGAAGAACAGGUUAUUCAGCUCCCCUGGCCAAACCAACCCAUCUCUGCAUUUGGUUCUCCCCCAGGCCUGGGACCAAAAGAGGUAACUCAAGCUCAUGUACCAAUCUCUCAUCCUUCAUUCCAUCUAUCUUCCCAUCCAGAGCCUCAGUCUGGAAGCGCUGAAGCUUUUCUCUAGAGCCCAAAGGAUUAAUGUACAUGUCUAGAGAAUCUGGGGGUUGUUUUCGACUGUUGGUUAUUAAAUAAUCCAGGUCACAAGAGGCACAAACUAUAUGCAAAUAGGAGCACUGGGUAGACAGGUGUGGAAUGGAGCUGCUGUGAUUAAAAGACCUUUUCCUGGCUGGGCGCGGUGGCUAAGCCUGUAAUCCCAACACUUUGGGAGGCCGAGGCGAGCGGAUCACGUGGUCAGGAGAUCGAGACCAUCCUGGCUAACAUGGUGAAACCCCAUCUCUACUAAAAAUACAAAGAAAAAAAAAAAUUAGGCGGGCGUGGUGGCGGGCGCCUGUAGUCCCAGCUACUCGGGAGGCUGAGGCAGGAGAAUCGUUUGAACCCGGGAGGCGGAGGUUGCGGUGAGCUGAGAUCGCGCCACUGCAGCCACUGCACUCCAGCCUGGGCGACGGAACGAGACGCCGUCUCAAAAAAAAAAAAAAAAAAA
This 1223-nucleotide long non-coding RNA is filed under the name Macaca fascicularis (crab-eating macaque). RNAcentral's name for it is "lncRNA (ENSMFAG00000047285.1)". The record is from RNAcentral. Lineage: Eukaryota; Metazoa; Chordata; Mammalia; Primates; Cercopithecidae.